GUCAAUGUCAGCAUCCCCACAUCUUAUAUCCCCACGCCAUGCCCCCACAAACCAACCCCCACGGCUUAAAUUCACACACCAUGACCCGCACAGGCUGCCCUUAAACAGCCUCCUAUCCCAAGCUUGCCCUCCAUACCCUGUCCCCCACACCCCACACAAUUCUAUCCCAAGCCUGCCCUCCCACAGCCUGCCCCCCACUGCCUGCUAUCCCACGCCUGCCCCCCCACCCUGCUAUCCCAAGCCUUCCCCCAACAUCCUGCUGUGC
This is a non-coding RNA of Pelobates cultripes (western spadefoot toad), 265 nucleotides long. The record is from the annotation of a GenBank genome assembly. NCBI's taxonomy places the organism in Eukaryota, Metazoa, Chordata, Amphibia, Anura, Pelobatidae.